This is a long non-coding RNA of Dromaius novaehollandiae (emu), 1215 nucleotides long. RefSeq lists it as uncharacterized. The record is from RefSeq and is a predicted model, not a curated record. The transcript is spliced from 3 exons. Lineage: Eukaryota; Metazoa; Chordata; Aves; Casuariiformes; Dromaiidae.
UUUGUCCUGCUUCUCUCCAGUGACUCAGCGAAGUAUAAUCACUGCUGCGAGCUGGGAAACUGCUACUCUGUGGGCUCCGGCACCGCCUACUAAAGUGGUUUGUCCAAGCUCUUCUGAUCUUUUAUAAUCUAGCACAAAGUUAAGGACAAGAGAAUCGGUACUGAUAGCUAUUUUUCCCCCCACAUUAAACUUCACAGAUAGUCUUACGCUUAGUACAAAUGAACUGAAUAGAUUUGAUGCUAAAAAAAAUCAAUGGUGUUUGUGCACAGAUAAAAAGCCAGGAACAUUUUUACUUUUCUUCCAGAGGCAGGAUCACUUCUUCAACAAGAGAUCCAAUUAUGGUCUGAAUGUAUGCAUCUGGAGCCUUACUAAUAUGAUUAUGAUACAGAAAUCAUCUACACUUAGAGCUGGAAAAUGCUUGUUUUCCAUAUAUUGCAGUAGCCCUACUAUAACCAUUAUGUACACUGGCUUCCCACCUAGGGAGAAACAACCAAUACAACUAUUCUUGCUGUCCACAUGGAUAGUUUUACAGUCAGGGCAGUGUCAGUGCAUUUUUGGUGAGUGCAAUCCGUAGCAACCCAGGAAGUCAAAAGACCAGGAACUCAGAUGGCUGAGGAUGAGAGCGUCUCAUUUGCAGUCCAGCUGCUGUGAGCUGCAGAGAUGAGGAGUUCUGAUCAAGUCAGGAGAAAGCUGCCAAAUGCAACGACACUUCAACGGGCACAGAGUAUCCUUUGGAGGAAUUCCUGUUUCUGCUUGAUCACAAAACAUCCAUCAAACUCUAAUCACCUCUCCUUGCUGCACAAGUAGGAGCUCUUCUUGGUUAGGGAACUGAAGGAAGACUGAAGGUAUGAAGAGAAUUUAAAGGAAAUGACCACCAGUUCCCUUCUCUUACUCUGCCACUGAUUUGUGAGGACCAUCAUGAAAGUAGCACUUGAAGUUGCAUAUACAUUAUAUAUAUUCCCAACAUUUUCUGAAAUAUGCCCUUGUUUUAAUUAAAAUGUAAAGUCUGUAUACUGAAGGACUCACUUGUCUGACAGGAGCAAUUGCCAUGUGCAACUGUCCCACCAUGGAUAUCAAGUGUCAGCUGAAAAAAUACUUUGCUUUGUCCUUGUAUAGGAAUUUCUGCAAUUUUAUUACAAUUGCAAACACUACUUAGUAGUAGAGGGCAACAUUAUGUCUCAUAUAUAUAAUUUGCAAAAAAAUAUAACCAGGGCA